Colobus angolensis palliatus is the source of this 99-nucleotide small nuclear RNA. NCBI's taxonomy places the organism in Eukaryota, Metazoa, Chordata, Mammalia, Primates, Cercopithecidae. The record is from Ensembl.
GUGUGCACUUCAGCAGCACAUAUACUAAAAUUGGAAUGGUACAGAAAAGAUUAGCAUAACCCCUACUGGGCCCAUCUGGGUGUGAUGGCUCAUACUUGU